This 260-nucleotide long non-coding RNA is filed under the name Mustela putorius furo (domestic ferret). Its description in RNAcentral is "lncRNA (ENSMPUG00000028209.1)". Lineage: Eukaryota; Metazoa; Chordata; Mammalia; Carnivora; Mustelidae. The record is from RNAcentral.
GCGGAAGCGGUACAGAAGAAAUGUGGGAGAAGGAGGCUCAGAACCACAUUCAGGAGUUUAGGAACAUGCUUACAUACGGAAGCUUAGACUCCCCAGAGAGCGGCGGGUAGCACAGCCCAGGGAAUCCCUCAACCGACCAGACCUUUGUUCUCUCAAAUCUCUGGAUCCGCUCCUGCUGCUUUGCCUUGAGUCCUUUGCCUUGAGCUGGGGUAGGGGAGGGGCCCCUCGAAGACAGGCAGCUCCCUUCCUUCCUGACUCAC